AAAACUAUACUUUCAGGGAUCCUUUCUAUAGUCCAUUACUAGAGAAAUUUCUCUGACUGUGUAAAAUACUGGAAACCAUGAGGAGGAGGUACAAUGUUCUCUGAGAGGGAAGCCAGUUCUCGGUGUUGCUUUGCUGCAACUGCCACUUGCCAUUGAUGAUCAUUCCUGCUCUCCUUCUGGGAAGCUGGAGAGAGAGGAUGUAGUCUCAGCAGA
Molecule: small nucleolar RNA, 213 nt
Organism: Jaculus jaculus (lesser Egyptian jerboa)
Lineage: Eukaryota; Metazoa; Chordata; Mammalia; Rodentia; Dipodidae
Gene: U3
Rfam family: Small nucleolar RNA U3
About the family: Small nucleolar RNAs (snoRNAs) are involved in the processing and modification of rRNA in the nucleolus. There are two main classes of snoRNAs: the box C/D class, and the box H/ACA class.
Source: Ensembl